RNAcentral lists this ribosomal RNA (162 nucleotides) under Caulerpa sertularioides. Its description in RNAcentral is "5.8S ribosomal RNA". It matches the Rfam family "5.8S ribosomal RNA". From Rfam's summary of the family: 5.8S ribosomal RNA (5.8S rRNA) is a component of the large subunit of the eukaryotic ribosome. It is transcribed by RNA polymerase I as part of the 45S precursor that also contains 18S and 28S rRNA. Lineage: Eukaryota; Viridiplantae; Chlorophyta; Ulvophyceae; Bryopsidales; Caulerpaceae. The record is from RNAcentral.
AAGCAUGCGUAGUGGACGGCUCGGUUCCCGUGUCGAUGAAGGACGUAGCGAAAUACGAAAGGUGUUGCGAAUUGCAAGAUUUCGUGAGUCAAUGAAUAUCCGAAUGCAUUGUCGUCCCUUCGCAGUCUUCGGGUUGCAAGGGGCGCGUCGGCAACAUCGGCU